Dermochelys coriacea (leatherback sea turtle) is the source of this 5453-nucleotide long non-coding RNA. RefSeq lists it as uncharacterized. The transcript is spliced from 9 exons. NCBI's taxonomy places the organism in Eukaryota, Metazoa, Chordata, Testudines, Dermochelyidae. The record is from RefSeq and is a predicted model, not a curated record.
ACGGUUCCAUUCGGGCUCGAGCCGCGCUAUCCCCUCCCCUCCCGGCUUUCAGCCGGCUGAGCGCCCCCUCCCCCGCCAGCGAGGCUACAAGCACGCAGGAGCCUGGGGCUGGGCUAAGAACUAGCUCAGGAGAUGGCCUCGAGUCACCCAAUCCCUGCCUUGCCCACGGAGCUCGGGCUCUGGCCCCAGCCGUGGGGAGGGGGACGCAGCGUACCCAGGCCCGGGCGGCUGGGACCCAGACCCAAGAAGAGAGAGUCCUGCGGCGGGCUGGCGUGGUCUGUGUGUGGAGAUGCCCCCGCGCGCCGCACAAAAUCCCUGCUGCUCAGAGGCUGCUUCUGCUUUAGAAACGACCUAGGGCUUUGGCUGGGGGCCCUGAAAUCGUCAGUGUUUCCUCACGUGUUACCUUAUCACAGGCUCUUGAAAUCGAGCCCGGGCUGGGCCUGGCCUGGCCAAGAGGGGCUUAACUUCGCUCCUGGGGUCUGGUGACACAGCAGCUGGGAUGAUGCUUCCCACCACAUCAGAUGCAUGCUAGCUCCCCAUAAGUGUGGAAAUUGAUUCAACAUAAAGAACGCACCCAUCUCCAUGCUGUAAAGUAGUACAAUUGAGAGCCAUGGAUUUCAGAGGCUGGCAUAUACAACAGGUACAGAAUGGACAAAUUUAUACCAGGGAUUGCAAACACAAGACAUGCUAAAGAAGACUUCCUCACCAUAUCCAGCCUUUUCUAUCCUUUCCUGAGUGCUGUCAAUAGGCGGCAGGUGAUAAUAAAUCAUGCACAGGUGAUUCCUGUGCUAAAAAAUUUGCCUGCAACAAAAGUAUCUGCUACCAUCUCUUCAUCUUAAACAGACUAACUCCAACAUUUAUAUGAAAGAAAAAGCAUAUUAAAAAGCAAAGGAAAUGUGAGUGUCAUAGUGGUGAAGAUGAAAUUGGUACUUAUCUUAGAAGAACUCUGAAGUAUGAGGAACUGAUCUUGCAGUUUUUACUCAUGGAAACCAUCCCUGCUCACCCUAUCCAUCCCAUUGACCUUUAUGGGGCUGCUUGCAUGAGUGCAAAAGGGUUGCAACAUACAACUCAAUUGGACUGAAGCACUUGCAGAAUCCAAGCAGCAGUAUAAACUGUAGCCAUUUUGUGAAUAUUUCGGCACGUGCCUGAAAGUCCCAUGUGGCUGAAAGAAAGUCUCAAAAUACUCAGCAACUAUUUUACAAAUGGGUAAAUUCAGCAAGUAAAGUUGGUGAGAGAGACAAGCUUUCGAGCUUACAAAGAGCUUUUCUUGGGGUCUCAAUAAAAUAUAUUACCUUGCCCACCUUGCCUCUCUAAUACCUUGGGACCAGCAUGACUACUACAACCCUGCAUACAUACUUGUUUGAAAACCCACUGAACGAGUGGCAGAGACAGAUAUUGAGCCUAGAGUCUUGAUUUCUUGUCCCCUGCUGUAACAACUAGUCACUUUAUGUCAGCACAGUCCUAAAGAGUAUAAAUUCUGGAGCUCCAGAAAACAACCUUUUUGCCCUGCAAGCAAGCUCAGGAGAACAACACCCUUUCAAGAGUGCUUUAACUCGCAUGCUUAUUGCCAUCCACUAAAACCAUCUGAAACAUUCAUGUUUCCUUCCAGUCAUCAGUGAACUUUGAAAAGAUGAUGAGAAGCAGGAGAGAACCUAGAAACAAAACAUUAAAAACUGUGCCAUUGACCCAGGAGGAAAUUCAAACUUGUGGAAGCUGGAGAGGCAUCAAAAAAGCAAAAGUAUUGCUCUUCCACUGAGGAUAGUGAUGUGCAAGUCACGAACUAUAGUCAGUUUUAAAAUUUUCCUUUGAAAACUGAUGAAAUAUUCAACAUUCUUGCUUAUUUUCAGAAGGUGUUCUUUACCUCUUAUCACCAACACCAUUACUGUCUUGAUUUCUGCACAAAUUUUCCUUUGCUUUGAUAUAUUAUUGCUCCUGAUAUUUUGCACAACUACAUUGCUCAGAAUAUCCAAGAUAAAAAAAAUACAGUGUCCCAAGAAUAAUUUAUACUUGUUGACACAUGGUAAAUCUUAGAAAAUUAGCACUCCAUGUAGUCUUGCCAGUGGCAGUUGUGCAACACUAUUCAGAGUAUUCUUCUUGCACUUUGUUGUAAGAACAGGAAUAAUAUCCAAAAUAUUCCAAAGUAAAUAAUACUCACUGAGUACAUUCUGCUGUUUUGCCUUUGCUCUGAUAGUCCAUAAUACACUGUAUUAAGUGGUGAUUUUCAUCUAGCAUCUGGAUAAAAAAAAAUGAUCAAAAUACUUGUUACUAUGCAAUAAGACUAAAAACACACCAAGUUCUGCUAUAUGUUUCUUCCUUCUGUGAUAUUCCACUCUCACUCGUUCUUAGCUUGAUGGUUCUUUGUGCAUGUUUGUUGCCUCCAGGUAUUUAUGAAGUUCCUAGACUGGAACAGGAAUAUUAAUAUGGAAUCAAAACUUCCAACUACUCCCCAAAGUCAAAUUUAUUUCUUGAACAUUACUAUAAAAUAAACUCCUGAGAGGGGGGUCCAUUUUGUGUUAAUCUUAGUCUGUAACUAUUAUAUCUUAUGCCUGAACAGGAAUAACAGAACAGAAAAAUAUGACCAAAAAGAUACAAAACUUCCUUAUUAAAAUACUCAGUGCAUUGCUCUGGUUUCAGAGUACAAUUUUUAUGAAAGGUUUACUAAACACAACCCACCAAAUUUUACAAUUUGAGUUCAUUUUAAAUGGAGGAAAAAUCAGAAAUGAAAGAUGAUACAUCUUAUACUACUUAAAACAUGUUUCCAUAAAAUUACAGCUCACAAAAGUUGUACUGUAGGCUUACAUCUCAUUGGUAGUUAAUACUGUAAAGAAUAAAUAUGUCAAUACUAUUUCUGUAUUUUAGGGAGUGAUUAUUAUUACUUAACAUUAAUAUUGUGGUGGAACUAAGGGCUCAAACAGGUGAGGUCCCUAUUGUGCUAGGUACUGUACAAAGAUAUAGUAAACAGUCCCUGCCCCAAAAGCUUACAGUAUAAAAUAUGUUGGAUGUUUGAUUUAAAAAUACACACAUGAAUAUAAAUAAAUUUCAACAUUAACCUUUUUAUGCCAUGUCCCUUUUGCAUUCCAGGACAAUGGCCUUAUGAAUGCAUUUCUGUUGUCUCCUAAAGAUGAGCAGAACAUAGCUUGUACAUCCAUGUGAGCCCACUAAGACAUAUUGCUACAGUUUGCCAGAAAGAUUCUUGAACAGUAGCAAUCCCUGAGGCUACUUUGGAUCCUUCUAUAAGAUAUGGAAAAAGGCAGAUAUGUAGAUACAAUGGGAGGAGUCUGGACUCUAUGGGUAAAGGGAGCAUUGAACCCCCCCAGCAUGUACUGUAUUUAGUGCAAAUCACCAGCUCCAUAUCUGAGCUCCAGAAUCCUAUAUGGGAGUGUCACAAGUGCAUAUUUAAAUUUUACAUUUUUUGUUGAAUUUGGGAAGUUUCCUUUCUUGCAUUUAGUAACAAUUACAAAAUGCAAGAAAUGAAACCUGACAGAUAUGACAGUUAUAAAACCUAAACCUCCUUGUAUUUGCAUAUAAAUCUAUGUUUCAUAGAUGAUGGGGACAGGCUAACAAGUCUGCAGGCACAGAAAACUCCCAAGGUGUUUGCCGUGUGCCUCACUGUUCUUUAAGCCACAAAGGAUCACCAAAUAGAUACUUCACAAAGGGCUGUGUAAUUGGGCCAUGGGGCACCCUGUGGCUUUUAAACCAAGUAGACCCAUUGACUGAUCCCCAUCUGAUCCUUAUAGCCUGCAGCUGCAAACUGUGCAAUCUGUCACAAUUAGCUCAGGAGGCCCCAGUUUAAUAAAUUAGGGGAGAUCCUUUUAUCUGAAUAUGCAAUUCCCUUGAUCUGGGAUAUGAAACAUAUAUACAUGAAAACAUUCACUUCAGAGCCCUUUCAAAAGUAACCACCUAAGAGCAGCUACUCCUGGUCUAGAAGAAACAUAACUGCUAGAUUCCCAAAAAACUGCACAUCAGCCAGGGUACAAGUCUAGGCAGCUUUCAGAGUAUCUCUGUAUGGUCUCACACCUCAUUCCAACCCAUCUCCAAAAUGCCUUUGCAUGUUCCAUAGGCCAUGGAGCAGGCCUGCUGCAAUGCAGUGCAGCACGUGAAGUAACUUCUUCUACAAUGAGCAACCUAUUUGUACACAAGUGGUCUGCAAGAUACAAUACUUAUGGAAUAGCCAUGAGAACCUUUGUUUAAUAUUGGGACCAAGAGUUAUAUGAGCUCCCUUUGCCAUGCAUCUCAAAUUCAUUGGUUCAUAUGCAUGCUUUUUUAAUAGCCUUAUAACAUAUGUCGGAGUUGAGCUAUGUAUUUUCUCCAAGUAUUUCUCCUUCAGGAACACAAUUCACACAAUGUUUCCCAAAUUGAUCCUUCUACAACAACAUCAGGAAAACUGUGUAAUUCCCCUACCAGUUAUGUACAAUUUUUAAAGGAUCUAUUCUGAAAUAUGGAUCUUUCCUUUUCCAUUUAUUGGAAACAUGAGUCCUGCCCAUCAUCACGGCAAAGAGUGGGUUAAUAACCAUUUUAAUCAAAUAAAUUCAUCUCCUUUAUUUCAAAAUUCUGAACCUGAGUAAAAAAGCUUUGAUAGGGCCAAUAAUACAGCCUUUAUAGCUCUCCACUGUGGAGGCUGUUAAAAAAUCUUACAUGCUAGUAAAGUAGUUAUAAGUCUGACAAUAGUUGUUGUAAAUGGGCAACAAGUCAUCAGAUGGUUCUGUUCUAAUUAAAAGUUAUGUGCUGGAUUUUAGAGGAGUUUGGCCAUAAUACAGCUACAUCCAUAUCUUUCUUGAGCCAUUUGCUGUGCAUUUUUAUAGUACAUUUAUAGGCAGAUAUAUUUUUAGAGGAUUUAGCUAAAGUAUACAACACUACAGAAUCAAUGGGUUUACUUUGUAGUCCUUAACACCAGAUAGAUUGUUGCCAGGCAGAGCCAGUUUCUCCACUAAAUAUCUGCAUCUGAUUCUAAAAUACCUUUAAAAAAUAUCCAUGGAACCGUAUCAUUGUCAGACAGUAAACUUUUACAGAGAUUAAGUUCACAUAAAAUAAUUUCAGACUAUCCAGCUCUGCAGUACAGCAAAUUAAGAAGCUAGCAUGUGACGCAUACUGCACUUGAAGAAGCACAAUUUGAAAUCUGCAACACUGACUAGAUGGAAACUGCAUUCACAGGAGAAUUACAUCACUCAAUGUGUUUUUGCUCUUUGAAGUAGUUCUGUUCUGAGAUAGAGAAAAAUUUUGAGUAACCAUGCACCAAUGAGAUGAUGCAUGGCAGUAGAAUAGAUCAAAAGCUCCAGUUGACUAGUCUAUGCCUUAAGCAAGUUCUAGAGUGGUUAAUUUGUUUCCAAAAAAUGAGUGUUCCUGGGCAAAACGCAAGAGAGAGCAUUUCAUCAUACAACCUACACUGCCUAAAAUUCACAUUUUGCUUAUUGUAAAAUGGUUUCAAAGACAGAAUUAUUUUGGUCUCCACCAAU